Molecule: ribosomal RNA, 198 nt
Filed under: Triticum aestivum (bread wheat)
Lineage: Eukaryota; Viridiplantae; Streptophyta; Magnoliopsida; Poales; Poaceae
Description: partial small subunit ribosomal RNA
Source: RNAcentral
AUGAUAGUUCUAGAGAGGGACUUUGAAGGCGGAGAAGGCAAUGACCUGACAGCUCAAGAGUUAAAUAAUACUAUUCCGUCCCAUAAUGUAAGACAUUUUUUGACACUCAUUAUGGGACGGAGGGAGUACGCACUAAUAUUGUUGCAGAAAGAGAAGAUAAAUAGCCCUUGCUUUCGGAGACGUGUUUGUUGGCCAUAA